AGAGUUUGAUCCUGGCUCAGAGUGAACGCUGGCGGCAGGCCUAACACAUGCAAGUCGAACGGCAGCGGGUCAGUAGCAAUACUGAUGCCGGCGAGUGGCGGACGGGUGAGGAAUACAUCGGAAUCUACCUUGUCGUGGGGGAUAACGUAGGGAAACUUACGCUAAUACCGCAUACGAACUACGGUUGAAAGCGGCGGACUCGCAAGAGCGUCGCGCGAUUGGAUGAGCCGAUGUCCGAUUAGCUAGUUGGCGGGGUAAAGGCCCACCAAGGCGACGAUCGGUAGCUGGUCUGAGAGGAUGAUCAACCACACUGGAACUGAGACACGGUCCAGACUCCUACGGGAGGCAGCAGUGGGGAAUAUUGGACAAUGGGCGCAAGCCUGAUCCAGCCAUGCCGCGUGUGUGAAGAAGGCCUUCGGGUUGUAAAGCACUUUUGUUGGGGAAGAAAAGACACCGGUUAAUACCCGGGGUUUCUGACGGUACCCAAAGAAUAAGCACCGGCUAACUUCGUGCCAGCAGCCGCGGUAAUACGAAGGGUGCAAGCGUUACUCGGAAUUACUGGGCGUAAAGCGUGCGUAGGUGGUGAGUUAAGUCUGUCGUGAAAGCCCCGGGCUCAACCUGGGAAUGGCGAUGGAUACUGGCUCGCUAGAGUGCGGUAGAGGAGAGUGGAAUUCCCGGUGUAGCAGUGAAAUGCGUAGAGAUCGGGAGGAACAUCAGUUGCGAAGGCGGCUCUCUGGACCAGCACUGACACUGAGGCACGAAAGCGUGGGGAGCAAACAGGAUUAGAUACCCUGGUAGUC
RNAcentral lists this ribosomal RNA (800 nucleotides) under uncultured bacterium. Its description in RNAcentral is "bacterial SSU rRNA". It matches the Rfam family "Bacterial small subunit ribosomal RNA", at positions 8 to 795 of the family's 1533-position model. The record is from RNAcentral.